CACUUAUAUACUGGAGAAGGAUA
RNAcentral lists this non-coding RNA (23 nucleotides) under Cricetulus griseus (Chinese hamster). The record is from RNAcentral. Lineage: Eukaryota; Metazoa; Chordata; Mammalia; Rodentia; Cricetidae.